RNAcentral lists this transfer RNA (86 nucleotides) under Bacillota bacterium. RNAcentral describes it as "tRNA-Ser". It matches the Rfam family "tRNA". From Rfam's summary of the family: Transfer RNA (tRNA) molecules are approximately 80 nucleotides in length. Their secondary structure includes four short double-helical elements and three loops (D, anti-codon, and T loops). The record is from RNAcentral. RNAcentral also lists the same sequence under 2 other names. Lineage: Bacteria; Bacillati; Bacillota.
GGAGAGGUAUCGAAGCGGUCAUAACGAGGCGGUCUUGAAAACCGUUUGGGCGCAAGCCCACAUGGGUUCGAAUCCCAUCCUCUCCG